Molecule: long non-coding RNA, 1593 nt
Filed under: Marmota monax (woodchuck)
Lineage: Eukaryota; Metazoa; Chordata; Mammalia; Rodentia; Sciuridae
Source: RNAcentral
CGUGGCUGUAGAACUGAGGGCCUCUGUGUCUGGUAGACUGUUGGCCGGAGGCCACCUGCAGCUUCUGGAAGCUGCAUGUGGGCGUCUUCCACAUCUUACUUCCUCAUGCCAACAAGGAGAAUUCCUGUUGAGAAUUUGCCAGCACAAUGGAGUUGUAUAUAAUCCAACACAACCAUGGGGAUGACAAGCCAACACUGCUUCCAUAUUCUGCUGUUUAGAAACCAGUUGAGAAAUCUGUCUCACAUUCAAGAGGAGGCCAUUGCACAAAUGCAUAAAAAGCAGAAGAAGGGUAUCCUUGUGGUCUCCUUAGGGUCUUCCCACCACAGUGGGUCUGAUUUCUCUCCACAUGGAGAUGGAAAGUAUGUGAAUGAAUAAAUUAAAGAACAAGAGUAACCUACCUAUCUGUAUUUUUUGGUUAUCUUUUUCUUUAUUCAUGGCUCCCUCUAAAAAUUUCAUAUAAUUAUUUACUGCUGUAUAACAAACCAUACCCCAAAUUAAUGGUUUAAUACAAUAAUUAUUUUAUUUGCUUGCUAUUCUGUGUUUCAACAGUAUGAAUUGGGCUCUGCUGGUUCUGCUGGUCUCUGGUGGAGUCACUCAUAUGGCUGCAGCCAAAUUGCAGCUUGACUGUGUGGUUUAACAGUGAGCUUCCUCACUGGGGACUGGCAAUGCUACAGGCUAGCUCCCAGUCUACAGCAGGUUGGCCAGUCUUUUUCACAUGACAUGUAGUUUCCAAAAGGAAAACAAUCUGCAAGACUCAGAAGCUGUAUAGUAUUACGUUUGCUAUUCUAUUGAUCACAGUAGAUCCCAAGGUGAGUCCACAUUCAACAGGUGGAAAAAUAGACUCCACCUCUUUUCCUUUCUACAUUACAUAAUUAAAAUCUGAACACUUGGGGCUGGGGCUCUAGCUCAGUGGUAGAACGCUUGCUUUGCACAAGUUAGGCACCGGGUUCGAACCUCAGCACCACAUAAAAAAUAAAUUAAUAAGAUAUUUUGUGUUCAUCUACAGCUAAAAAAAAAUCUGAACACUUCAAGAUUUACAUGAUAGUUAUUUCAGGUAUCGAUCCUCAUAUACAAGAUGAGGUUAGAGAUAUAAUGGUAUUUUUAAAAAUUUCUUUUAGUUGUCAAUGGACCUUUAUUUUAUUUAUUUAUAUGUGGUGCUGAGUAUUGAACCCACUGCCUCACACAUGCUAGGCAGGCGCUCUACCACUGAGCUACAAUCCCAGCCCCAAGAUAGAAUGGUAUUUAAUAUUUAUUUUUGUUAAAGUAGUUAGUUGAUCUUUGCUCAUAUGCAAUAAUACAUUACCUAUGAAUGUCUUCACGUGUUAGUCUUAAAUAUUACUGAAUUUAUUCUUAAUAAGUUGCAGUGGUUUGUUCCAAUCAAAACUCAUGUUGAAAUGGGUUACUAAUAUAGUGGUGUUGGAAGGUAGGUUCUUUAAGAAAGAGUAAUGCGUUUCUCCUUAGACUGGAUUAAUUCUUACAGAAUUAAUGUAGUUCUCAGGAGAGUGCGUUGUUGUAAGCAUCUGUUCCUUCAACGCCUCCUCUCUUCUUCCUGUACCAGCUCCCAACUCUUAUAGGGUGAUAUCAUGAGCCAUG